Molecule: long non-coding RNA, 1111 nt
Filed under: Ananas comosus (pineapple)
Lineage: Eukaryota; Viridiplantae; Streptophyta; Magnoliopsida; Poales; Bromeliaceae
Description: long non-coding RNA (ACOM_LNC024949)
Source: RNAcentral
AAAGCUUAGCUACCAUUUGGUUUGGGGUUAAGAAAAAAUUAGUUAUUUCAAGAAUAGGGUUAAGUUUAGGGUUAAGGUGGGAUUAAAGUAUUUUUGUGUUUGGUUGGAGAUUGGAGUUAGUUCAGGAUAGUAAAAAAUAGUAUUUGGUUGGAGUAGGUGGGAUAAGAAGGAUAGUGGGUUAUUAGAAAAUAGUGUUUGGUUGGGGUUUGGUGGGGUUAGGUGGAGUUAGCUAAUCCGGGAUAACUCAUUUGAGGUGGGGUUAGCUAACCCCAACUAUUUUUUGGGAUGUUUGGGAAUAAAAUGGGGGUUAAGGGGGUUAUUCCACCCCUUAACCCCCAACCAAACGAAGGCUUAAAGUUUAAAGAUGAACAAAUUCUUGCAAAUUAUAUAUAAACUUAUAAAGUUUUUGAAAAUGUGGUCUUCUUAUUUCUUUUCUAUAUAUGGGACCAAUAUUUUUAACACUAACACCUAUCGCAUUAACCGACAGUCUUUAGAGCAAGUGGCAAAGGGCUUGGUGGUUGGUACCCAAGACCUAAGUUCGAAUUCUAGUUGAUUCACAUUUCCAGUUAAACUUAUUUCUAAAUAAAAUAAAUAAAGCGGAUAGCGUGCUAUCUAUUUCUCUAAAAAAAAAAAAAAAACACCUGGCCCAUUUAAUUAGAUCACAAGCUUACUAAAUGAUCUGUGUUUUGCCCCGUGGGAGACAAGUUGGGUUUGGAUAGGUAUUGAGAUUGUGGGGCUUGCAUGUUGGAUAAUAAUUUAUUUUUUAUUCAUAUUCUCGGCUGUCACACUUGGCACUUUUUGGACCAAUCAUGCUUUACUAGCAUAGUAAUCCGUGCAAUACGAUGGAUAGAUAAUUAGAGGAAGUACAUAGAAAAUAUCGACAAAUAAAAAAAAAGCAAUAAAAAAUGCGACAAUGAGGAGCAUGAUUCAUCUUGCCGAUGAACAAAAACAACAGCCGAAUGAAGAGGAAAAGGAAGAGAAAGGAUUUGAGCUGGUUCGGGGUGAAAACAACAUUCAACUAUGAAGAAAAAGUUGUCAUGUGGUAACUUUAGGAGAAAUAAUGUACAAGUAUAGAUUCUUUCUAAUAAAAAAUACUACAUGUACAUUUUAU